RNAcentral lists this long non-coding RNA (5181 nucleotides) under Sus scrofa (pig). RNAcentral describes it as "lncRNA (ENSSSCG00005023857.1)". The record is from RNAcentral. Lineage: Eukaryota; Metazoa; Chordata; Mammalia; Artiodactyla; Suidae.
ACAGCACAGCUUCCAGUGCCCCACCGCGCGGGAAAGAAACAUAAUCUGUUUCAACCCCGCCCCCAAGACUGGAGGGGUCCACGAGUGAGCAACUUCAUUCAUGAAACUAUUCAUCUGCACUCUGACCCAAAGGACAUUCAUGCAUAUAUCCACCUUGCUUGUGGGAGCCCAGUCUCUGGCCAGCUUCUGAAAGGACUUGUCAUUUGGAGCGUGCCUAACCAAGACACACUUGGUUCCAAGCAGCCAGCUGCCCACCAGAAGGACUUGCCUUUCCUGGGCACUGCAGCCAAGGUCAUGCCAGCACUGAGCACUGGCCAGGGGUGGGGGUGGGGGUUGGAGGAGAACUGCCUCACCAAUCGAUCCCAGGAGCAUGGAAAGGAGCAGCUCCCUAAAACAGCCACUGAAAGCAGGAUCUGUCCUCUGUCAAGAUGUCACUUCCCAGGCUACUUCUCCUUCCAUGCCUGUAAGAGCCAAGGAGGUACCAGACCAAUGGCCUAAAGCCGCCAGACCUCCAUUCCUUUGCUGAACUCUGGGGUCAGCUGCUGCUUCUGCAAUGGACAGCAACUCUAACUAAAGCAGGAAGAGGGAGGUUACACAUUGAUAAUGAAGGAAACACAAGGAAAGGAUGAGCAGUGAGCUGCCUUUCCCUUGAGGAAUAAUUGAGAUGUUUAUAUAAUGUGUCAAAUUCGGCCCUGGCACAAAGGCAGGACUCAGAAGAUUUGAAUUUUUUACCUCAAAGAGAAGUACAUGAGCUUGGGGAGUUAUAGCUCCCAGUUAUGCUUAGAGCAUGAUAUUGUACUUCCAGGCGGGCUUCCUGGCUUAAAAAAAAAUGGGCAGGGACACUUCGUGGUUCCAGCUGGUUUUGGUGACUCAGCACAGUAAAGAAAGCCUGAGGGGGGACAGUCGUGCAGGCUCCCAUUGUAGAGGCGCCCCAUGUACCCCGGGCUUUAUGUACACUCUCCCUCGGGAGGUGUCAUGCUGGCUUAACAGAUGAGGAACUUGAGGCUGAGAGAGAUUUGAUAUCUUGCCUGAGGCCUCAUAGCUAGGGAGUGAUAUAGAACUGGAUUUGAACUCUGUGUACUUUCAAAACACUUUCCUUUUCUGGGCUAUGGGGGAGGGGACAUGGAUGGGAGGAAGGGAAGAGGGUGAAGGACUAUGGGUUUCUAGGUUCUGGGGAGGCUUGCUGGUUGGGGAUGGGAGGUGGCUCUUUGCAGAGACUCUAAAGUUGACAUCCCACAUGGGAUGCAAAAAAUGCAUCAACAACUACCAUCUGCGGACAACCCUUCAGUCUUGUACUGCUGCAAAUAAUAAAGCUGGAGAGGUUAGUGGGGGCUAGAGUGUGAAGAGCUUGGUGAAUCACCUUAGGGAGCUUGCAUUUGCUCUAGAAGGCAGUGGAGGGCCAAAGAGUGGCAUGAUUUGAUCUGCACUGACAUUCCGUAUGGGACAGAAAUACUGAGUGCAUAUCAGUAAGCGCUCACACAUACGUCAUGUGGGCCAUGGGAAGAAUGUUUAAUAUAACGGUGCAGUGAUCCCCAUUGAGGGCUCAGGGGACAGUCAGGUUUGACUCCCAGUUCUGUCACUUCCUGCCUGUGAAGGCUUGGUGAGUGAUCUCUCCAUUUCUUUCCUCCUCUGACAAAUGAGAGGUGAUAAUGAUGAUUUCUAAGCCACGGGGUUGCUAUAAGGAUGAGACAAGGUUAUGCAUAUAAAAUAUAGCACAGCGCCUGGAACAUUCACACACUCAGGGAAUGCUGGCCUGAUCUCACACCCCACACAUUGUCUGCUCCACUUCCAGUCCUUUUUUUUUUUUGUCUUUUUAGGGCUGUAGCCAUGGCAUAUGGAAGUUCCCAGGCUAGGGACUGAAUCCAGAGCCACAGCUGCCAGCCUACACCACAGCCACAGACAUAGCAACGUGGUAUCCAAGCCACAUCUGCGACCCACACUACAGCUCAUGGCAACACCAGAUCCUUAACCCACUGAGUGAGGCCAGGGAUCGAACCCCAUCCUCAUGGAUAUUAGUUGGGUUGGUUACCACUGAGCCACGACGGGAACUCCCCACUUCCAGACCUCUUGGCCUUUUGUCUUUUCCCAGCUACUGUGGUGCCCAGGCCCAUGCAGGCUUUGAUCUAAUAGCACCUCCUUCUUUUGCUUCCCCUCCGAGAGCUUCUUGGAUGCUCACAUGGACCUGUUCAUGCAUUUUCCCUCCAGAAGCAUGGGGCAGACAGCUGUGGACAGAGCCGAGGAAUGAAUGUACCCCUCCAUUCCCCAGGUGACCAGUGAGGAGACACAUUUCAUAAGGCUUCUGGGAGGUCCUGCCACUGGAGUAGCCUGUCUCCAUGGUCAGCUCAACAUGCAUCUUCACUCUUUCUCCUCUCCUCUCUCCCUCCCUAUCUUUCACCUCUGCUCCUUGGGACCACUUUCCCUAUUGAACACCUACACUUUUUUUUUUUUUUUUUCUCAGACUCUGCUUUUCAGAAGGACCCAGGCUAAAACAACCCAUUAUAAGAUGAUCCUACUUUCUUGGAAAUGCUAGAAACAUGAACAUCUAUAAGAGAGAAUCAUUCCUUGUGGUUGGGUAGCCUCCUCCCUAUAACCUAAGGUUCCAGUUUUACUUAUUCACUAGUGUGAGGGUAGAGGAGCUGGUGAACUAAGGGAGCUGGAAGAACUCUGAGGUCCAAGGACAUGUAGGUGGAGCCCUGUCCAGUCCUGAGUCUGCUGGUGACUGGGCCAUCCUAGGCAGGUGUCUCCCUCUGAGCCUCCUUCUCCUUACCUGUAAAACAGAGAUAACAGAUGCCUACUUGUACUGUGGAGAGACUCUGUGAGUUGAGUGCUUGGCCCUGUCCAGCCCCUGAUACGUGUUCAGUGAAUGGUGAGCCUUGGUCUGUAAUCACCGCUGGACUGUCCUAGAUCUAGGGUCUCCUAUUGCUUCAUAUGUGCUUCCUUAGCUUCCACAGUGAAAUGGUGAGCCCGUCACACUGCAGUGGUAGAAGAAAUUUGUGAUCAAUAGAUCCAUGAUCUCUUUCAAAUAAAUGACUCCAGCUUUAUUGUCCUAAAUAGCAGAGGCUUUGGUAUUCCUGGGACAAGGGAGUUCCUGUUGUGGCUCAGGUAAUGAACCUGACUAAUAUCCAUGAGGACGAGAGUUUGAUCCCUGGCCUCACUCAGUGGGUUAAAGAUCUGCUGUUGCCAUGAACUGUAGUGUAGGUUGCAGAUGUGGCUCGGAUCCCACGUUGCUGUGUCUGUGGCUGUGGUGUAGGCUGGCAACUGUGGCUCUGAUUCAACCCCUAGGAUUUUCUUGCCUUCCAUAUUGAGGGCCUGGUUUGUUUGAGACAGGAAGUGCCCAAUAAAAUUACUCACUUUCCUGGCAGUGGAGGUGGGCUGAGGGACCCCAUUCUGGCCAGACAGUGGUAAAUAGCAGCCUGGGUUCCUGAUGACACGGUAGAGCCAGUGGAGAAAAUGGAGGACUUUAUUUGCUUCAUCUCUGUAGUUAGGUUUCUGUUGUAUGUAACCAAACAGUUCUGGAUGGUUCAGAGACACAUUAUCGUAUCCUGCUUAAGAGCAUGGGCCUUUGAGUUAACAGAUGACAGCUUUCAGUCUCAGCUCUGUUGCAUACUAGCCAGCUGUGUGACACCUCAGACUAGUCACUCCGUCACGCUUCCCUGUUUCUAUAAAACGGGAGUGACAGUACCUCCUAAUGUGUGUCUCAUAUAACAUGAAAGUAAUCAACUUGUUCCAGUUUGCCUGGAACUUGUCCAGUUUUAGCACUGAAAUUCGCACAUCCUAGGAAACCCCUCAGUCCCAGACAAGCCCGGCAGCUGGUCACCCUAUUAAAACACCUCCCCAAAUACCUACCUCCUUUACCAAUGGAAGAGUGGGCCCUGAAGGCCAACACUUCUAUUUGAUGUUGCCAUCUAGUGGCUGAGCAGAAUAUAACAUCACUGCAAAGACUAGUUUUCCAUUAUAUAAGCCGUUUUUUCUUAACAAAAACGAACCACAGGUCAAAAUGGAAUAUUCUACUAACCAUUUAAAUUUAUAGCUGUUGUAAUCCCACUAUAUUUUAAGACACACUGGUAUUUGCCAGCAGAUAUGGUAUCCUGUUGAGCUAUUGUGAGGAUUUAAUGAGUGUAGGAAGGCCUCUUCCAUGGUGUAUCACAGUUUAUGUGCUUAAGGGUCACUGGUGUCACGUAAACAUGGGUUAGACUCUGUGCUUUGACUCAUCCUUUGAAAAGUGAUUUCAUCCCCCUGAAUCUGUUUCCUUGUUUGUAUUGGGGGUAAUAGGACCUUCCUCAGAGGGUUGUCUAGAUUGAUAGCGAGAUGCUUGUGGGCCCCUUGAGGGAAGCACAACCCCCAAAUAGUGCUUUUCCUACCGAGUUCUCCAGAAGCCAAGCCUCAGGCCACCCCCCUUUGGGGGGGUUUGCAGCUCUGGGAGGAACUGACCUGGAGAUAACUUUUCUGCAUCAAGGCCAGUCUCAGCUGGAAGUAGGGCUUCAGAGGCCAGGAAGGCCUGACUGGACACUGUGAUGAAUUCAGCUGGUUCCUCUUAAGCUAAAGCUAUUAUCCCUCCUCUGAGAUGGAUACUAGGCAGGCACUAUACAGGGGCACGACCCAGUACUCAAUUCAGUGGCCUUAAGCAGUGGGAGCUAACUAGUGCCCAGGCCAGUACUGUGGGCGAGCCCUGAUCAAAGCCAGAACUGCAAUGUAAACCCCAGCUGUUUUCUGCUUUCUACUUAUGCUGUGUUCAAACACACUAGGGUAUGCCUGUACCAGCCUGGCCUGCUCAGUCUGUUCAGAAGGCUUCCUAAAGAUUCAGAGAAACAGACACAUCCCUGCCUUUCCUGCACCAGUCUUUGUGAGUUCUAGAAAAAAGAAUCACUCAAAUCUUUCAAACAUCUAAUUCUGCUAUAGCUAUGAAGACCCACAAAUAGGCUUAAUAGCAACACUGGAUUUAAGUUCUUCAAUUCUAUUUCUAAGUGAAAUUAGAGAAAGAUACAUAUGCUACUUAUAUUAAUCAACACAUAUAACUGCUGGCCUCUGCUUUGUUCUGUGUACCUCCAAUGCCUUGUAGUCCUGUUUUAGUGCCUGGGUGUUAAGUUUUAAUUUCAUUCAUUUUUAAUGAAAAUUUUAAAAUGUCUCAUCUCUAUCUUCAGAUAUUAUGUUAUGGCUAUAAAAAGAGCUGUCUUUCUUUCU